UUAUAUGUUUUAGGGAGUGCAAAUGUUGAAAAUGAUUACCAUUUGGAAUCCAAGAUGGCGGCCAUGCACUAUGUCAUAAAUGUCGUCAUGGAUGUCGUUUUAUAGGUUUAAGGGAAUGCAGAUUUCAAAAAUGAUGACCAUUUUGGAAUCCAAGAUGGCGGCCAUGCACUAUGUCAUAAAAGUCUUCAUAGAUGUCGUUUUAUAGGUUUAAGGGAAUGCAGAUUUCGAAACUGAUGACUAUUUUGGAAACCAAGAUGGCGGCCAUACUCUUUUUCAU
This is a long non-coding RNA of Cydia strobilella, 277 nucleotides long. RefSeq lists it as uncharacterized. Lineage: Eukaryota; Metazoa; Arthropoda; Insecta; Lepidoptera; Tortricidae. The record is from RefSeq and is a predicted model, not a curated record. The transcript has 3 exons.